Dunaliella salina is the source of this 98-nucleotide non-coding RNA. The record is from the annotation of a GenBank genome assembly. NCBI's taxonomy places the organism in Eukaryota, Viridiplantae, Chlorophyta, Chlorophyceae, Chlamydomonadales, Dunaliellaceae.
GGGAGUGUGGUCUAGUGGCAUGAUUGUCGAUUCGGAUAUUUAGACCGAACGUACACUGUUAAUUCGACAGGUCCCGGGUUCGAUUCCCGGUACUCCCC